Choloepus didactylus (southern two-toed sloth) is the source of this 170-nucleotide long non-coding RNA. RefSeq lists it as uncharacterized. The transcript has 3 exons. NCBI's taxonomy places the organism in Eukaryota, Metazoa, Chordata, Mammalia, Pilosa, Megalonychidae. The record is from RefSeq and is a predicted model, not a curated record.
CAGGUAUACAACACAGGCACUGGUCUGGAGGAACAUAGACCAAAGGGUUUAAGCUGGCUGUAUACAGGGGGCUGCAAAGUCUGGUGUUUGGAACUUGAUGAGGCCCUUGUGAAGCUCAAGUCACCUCAAGGUCCAAGAAGGCUUUCUCAAUCCCAUGAUGUCAGGACCCA